UAUCUCUGUAGAGUCUGCAUAUCAAUAAGCGGAGGAAAAGAAACUAACUAGGAUUCCCUCAGUAACGGCGAGUGAAGCGGGAAGAGCUCAAAUUUGAAAUCUUCAAGGUUCUACCUUGACGAAUUGUAGUUUAAAGAAGUGUUUUCUGUUGGAGUUUUGGUAAAAGUUCUUUGGAAUAGGACAUCAUAGAGGGUGAGAAUCCCGUAUUUGACCAUUAUUUCCAGCUUUGUGAUACACUUUCAAAGAGUCGGAUUGUUUGGGAAUGCAGUCCAAAAUGGGUGGUAAAUUUCAUCUAAAGCUAAAUACUGGCGAGAGACCGAUAGCGAACAAGUACCGUGAGGGAAAGAUGAAAAGAACUUUGAAAAGAGAGUUAAACAGUACGUGAAAUUGUCAAAAGGGAAGCGUUUGACACCAGUGUUGUUUUCUCGAAAAUCAAUUAAAAAAGGCAGGAUUUUGUGUUGUAUUGACUUUAUCAGCUUUCUGCACUCUUUUCUUGUCUUUUUUAAUGCACUUUUCGUUUAACAAGUCAACAUCAAUUUCUUUUGUUGUAAAAGGGUCAUUGGAAGGUGGCUUUCUUUUCGGAGAAAGUGUUUAUAGCCUUUGGCCUCUGCAAUCGGAGAGAUUGAGGUCUGCAGCGUAGAUCCUUCGGGGUUAGAUACAUUUGUGCUAAGUUAUAGCCUUUCAUAGACAACUUGUUGACUAUGAUCAGUCAUGUAGCUUACUCGCUUAUGCUAUUUUACCUACGCUUAGGAUGUUGAAGAUGUAGCACAUCAU
Molecule: ribosomal RNA, 774 nt
Filed under: uncultured Neocallimastigales
Lineage: Eukaryota; Fungi; Neocallimastigomycota; Neocallimastigomycetes; Neocallimastigales
Description: partial large subunit ribosomal RNA
Rfam family: Eukaryotic large subunit ribosomal RNA
Source: RNAcentral